This 745-nucleotide ribosomal RNA is filed under the name uncultured bacterium. Its description in RNAcentral is "bacterial SSU rRNA". It matches the Rfam family "Bacterial small subunit ribosomal RNA", at positions 33 to 773 of the family's 1533-position model. The record is from RNAcentral.
ACGCUGGCGGCAGGCCUAACACAUGCAAGUCGAGCGGUAGAGAGGAGCUUGCUUCUCUUGAGAGCGGCGGACGGGUGAGUAAUACCUAGGAAUCUGCCUGGUAGUGGGGGAUAACGUUCGGAAACGGACGCUAAUACCGCAUACGUCCUACGGGAGAAAGCAGGGGACCUUCGGGCCUUGCGCUAUCAGAUGAGCCUAGGUCGGAUUAGCUAGUUGGUGGGGUAAUGGCUCACCAAGGCGACGAUCCGUAACUGGUCUGAGAGGAUGAUCAGUCACACUGGAACUGAGACACGGUCCAGACUCCUACGGGAGGCAGCAGUGGGGAAUAUUGGACAAUGGGCGAAAGCCUGAUCCAGCCAUGCCGCGUGUGUGAAGAAGGUCUUCGGAUUGUAAAGCACUUUAAGUUGGGAGGAAGGGUUGUAAAUUAAUACUCUGCAAUUUUGACGUUACCGACAGAAUAAGCACCGGCUAACUCUGUGCCAGCAGCCGCGGUAAUACAGAGGGUGCAAGCGUUAAUCGGAAUUACUGGGCGUAAAGCGCGCGUAGGUGGUUAGUUAAGUUGGAUGUGAAAUCCCCGGGCUCAACCUGGGAACUGCAUUCAAAACUGACUGACUAGAGUAUGGUAGAGGGUGGUGGAAUUUCCUGUGUAGCGGUGAAAUGCGUAGAUAUAGGAAGGAACACCAGUGGCGAAGGCGACCACCUGGACUGAUACUGACACUGAGGUGCGAAAGCGUGGGGAGCAAAC